RNAcentral lists this non-coding RNA (102 nucleotides) under Neomoorella glycerini. RNAcentral describes it as "Moorella glycerini Guanine sequence". It matches the Rfam family "Purine riboswitch aptamer". From Rfam's summary of the family: Riboswitches are metabolite binding domains within certain messenger RNAs that serve as precision sensors for their corresponding targets. Allosteric rearrangement of mRNA structure is mediated by ligand binding, and this results in modulation of gene expression. A class of riboswitches that selectively recognises guanine and becomes saturated at concentrations as low as 5 nM. The record is from RNAcentral. Lineage: Bacteria; Bacillati; Bacillota; Clostridia; Neomoorellales; Neomoorellaceae.
UAAGUAUUAAAUACCCUGCUUCGUAUAUCCUCAGCAAUACGGCCUGAGGGUCUCUACCAGGCAACCGCAAAUUGCCCGGCUACGAAGUUAUUCCUUCGUUGC